Molecule: ribosomal RNA, 687 nt
Filed under: uncultured bacterium
Lineage: Bacteria
Description: bacterial SSU rRNA
Rfam family: Bacterial small subunit ribosomal RNA
Source: RNAcentral
CCACGCAGUAAAAGAUGAAUGCUAGCUGUCCGGGGCGAAUGAGUUCUGGGUGGCACAGCGAAAGCGUUAAGCAUCCCACCUGGGGAGUACGCCGGCAACGGUGAAACUCAAAGGAAUUGACGGGGGCCCGCACAAGCGGAGGAACAUGUGGUUUAAUUCGAUGAUACGCGAGGAACCUUACCCGGGCUCAAACGGCACAGUGAUACUUUUGAAAGGAGGUAGCUCUACGGAGACUGUGCCGAGGUGCUGCAUGGUUGUCGUCAGCUCGUGCCGUGAGGUGUCGGCUUAAGUGCCAUAACGAGCGCAACCCCUAUUGUCAGUUGCCAGCAGGUAAAGCUGGGGACUCUGACGAGACUGCCGGCGCAAGCUGAGAGGAAGGCGGGGAUGACGUCAAAUCAGCACGGCCCUUACGUCCGGGGCGACACACGUGUUACAAUGGCAGGCACAGCGGGAAGCCACCCGGCGACGGGGAGCGGAACCCGAAAGCCUGUCUCAGUUCGGAUCGGAGUCUGCAACUCGACUCCGUGAAGCUGGAUUCGCUAGUAAUCGCGCAUCAGCCAUGGCGCGGUGAAUACGUUCCCGGGCCUUGUACACACCGCCCGUCAAGCCAUGGAAGCCGGGAGCGCCUGAAGCGCGUGACCGCGAGGAGCGCGCUAAGGUGAUACCGGUGACUGGGGCUAAGUCGUA